This 69-nucleotide transfer RNA is filed under the name Teredorus nigropennis. Its description in RNAcentral is "tRNA-Gln". Lineage: Eukaryota; Metazoa; Arthropoda; Insecta; Orthoptera; Tetrigidae. RNAcentral also lists the same sequence under 2 other names. The record is from RNAcentral.
UAUAUGUAAGUGUAAGAAGCACUUAAGUUUUUGAUACUUGUAGGGACAGUUUAAUUCUGUUAUAUAUAA